Molecule: long non-coding RNA, 581 nt
Organism: Diuraphis noxia (Russian wheat aphid)
Lineage: Eukaryota; Metazoa; Arthropoda; Insecta; Hemiptera; Aphididae
Source: RefSeq, a predicted model, not a curated record
AAUAAUGUUUUUUCUGAAAUAAUUUCUUAUUAGGAAUUAUACUUACACGUUACACGACUAGUUUUGCACUUCUUCAGUAUGGCACUAGUGCAGUACGUGUACAUGUUACAACUACUAAAAUUGUAACUACUGAACGUCUGACCUACUAGUGAGUAGUGACUAUAUAGAUGCUAGUAGCUAUAUAGUGUCGCUAGUGGCGACUGCGGAGUGCGGCUUAAUCGUUUAAUGCUUAUCUUAAUUCUUAACCAUUUGAACAACGUGCAUCGUGCGCAAAAGAAAACAAAUUUUUUUGAUUAUAUAUAUUGUGCUCACGUUAGUUGUAAAUUUGUAAUUGUUUAAUUAAAUCAAUUAAAGCCUGAAAUUUAUUUUCCGUUGUGUUGAAUGUGUCAAUGAAUACUAUAUAUUGAGAAUUUUAUAUUGUGAGUUCUAUCUAUAUUGGCUACAUUACUGUUUAACGCCUAGAUGGUCUAAAAGCCAAAAGUAUUUACCAUUUGCGGCGGUGAUGUGAUUAUUUUUCUCCUGUGAAUACUGAAUGGACAGUUGACAUAUUAUAAAGAGUGAGUACAAAGUUAUGGAAUCCA